This is a non-coding RNA of Oryzias latipes (Japanese medaka), 300 nucleotides long. The record is from RefSeq and is a predicted model, not a curated record. NCBI's taxonomy places the organism in Eukaryota, Metazoa, Chordata, Actinopteri, Beloniformes, Adrianichthyidae.
UCAGAAGAUUUCCUCUGGAUGCCCCUGACCAGACAUGAACAACUUGGUCUUCCACGUCUCUACUGCUUUGCCAACAUAAAGGUGUCUGUCGUGGCCCUUCACGCUUACGGUCAGUCCCACACAAGACCAGACCGGCAGACCCGCAGAUCGGUUGACCCGCAGGACCAUUGAGCAUCUGGUGGAGCAGCUUCGGGUUCCUCACACUCUGGGGCAGCUUCGGGUUCCUCACACUCUGGGGGGGGCACAGGAGACUGAGGUCCUGGUGUUUCUUUUCUGGCUGGCAUGUGGCACAUCAUACAG